AGCAACGUUGUUUGGUGGGUGUGCACAUUGACUCUAACUGAUGAUGUCAUCAGACACGGCCGCCGGACGGGUGCGUGGUCCCGCUCCCGGAGCUGGCAUCCUUCACUGGGGUGUUCUCUACGGUAUAAAGCUUUUAUUUUUUUUCACCCCUAAUUUGACAGAGCACCCCAAAUCAGUCCCAGCCCCUUGAUGGACAACAUUGCAGCACCCCUGGAUGGGCAACUCUGCAGCACCCAUGAACGGACACAGCACAGACACGUCUGCACUAUACAAGCUCUACUGCCGGAGUGAAAUGGCACCUAUCAAAGGGGGCCUCAUAUAGAAUCCAAAACCCGCGAAAAUCCGACAGCAGGAGGAUGACAUUUUGCCUCAUUAGGGAUCUGAGUCAGGCAGGAAAACCUGACCCAGACUCAGAUCCCGACUCAGAUCGUGAAAUUCCGGUGGGUCCGGUUCUCAGAGAAUCGGAGCCGCUCAUCUCUAAUUAUAUGUAAGGGGCAUUACUACUGUAGGCAUUAUAUGUACAAGGGACACUACUGUGCGGCGCAACGUGAAUAAGGAACACUACAGUGUGACAUUAUGUGUAUAAAGGACACUACUAUGUGGUGUAAUAUGAAUCGGGACACUACAUGCAGUGUAAUAUAAAUAAUAUUGUGCUACAGUAUGGUGGAAUUUGAAAUUGGGUACUAUUGUUUGUCCACACCCCGUCCUUGUGAAAACACACCUGUUUUGUGGCAUACCUUUGACAAGCGCUGUUAUUUUGUUAAGCAUGGGAGGUAAGGCAUAAAGUUAUAGUUUGGGGGAAUGGGGGGGUGGGGGCGGGAUGGGUGCCGAAUUUGCUGGGCUAUAAGAAACUGUUAAUAAAUAAAUAAUUGAAGACAGACCUUUUCUAACCAAAGGUAUAUGCAUGCUGUGCCUUCAGAAGCACAGUGACUUAUUAACAUUUGUGGAUAGCACUUAAUGUAUUACACACAGGGAUUUUAUUACACAGUUAUCCAGGAUUAAUGUUCUGUAUUGCAACACUAGUGCUUCACAUUGCUCUGGUCUCAAUGUGAUUUUUAAUGAAAGGUUUUCUGUCCUUAAUCUACCUAACCAUAUGUUUUGCUAAUCACUUUUUCAAGGGGACUUUGCUGAUAUUUUGAUAUAUUGCAAACAACACUUCUUUGUCCUUAAGCUAGUGCUGUUAUUUUUAGUAGGACCCAGCACCCAUAAUAAAUAAUUGCAUUUAUCUUUGCAA
Molecule: long non-coding RNA, 1234 nt
Organism: Pseudophryne corroboree (corroboree frog)
Lineage: Eukaryota; Metazoa; Chordata; Amphibia; Anura; Myobatrachidae
Exons: 2
Source: RefSeq, a predicted model, not a curated record